Molecule: transfer RNA, 90 nt
Filed under: Clostridia bacterium
Lineage: Bacteria; Bacillati; Bacillota; Clostridia
Description: tRNA-Ser
Rfam family: tRNA
About the family: Transfer RNA (tRNA) molecules are approximately 80 nucleotides in length.
Source: RNAcentral
GGAGAAGUACCCAAGUGGUGAAGGGGCUCCCCUGCUAAGGGAGUAGGCGUGUAACAGCGCGCAAGGGUUCAAAUCCCUUCUUCUCCGCCA